Picea glauca (white spruce) is the source of this 110-nucleotide non-coding RNA. Lineage: Eukaryota; Viridiplantae; Streptophyta; Pinopsida; Pinales; Pinaceae. The record is from Rfam.
UAUAGCAUAGCAUUAAUGCACCAGAUCCCAUUAGAACUCCACAGUUAAGCGCGCUCAGGUACAGUAGUACUAGGAUGGGUGACCCCCGGGUAAUCCUAGUGUUUCAAUCC